This 126-nucleotide ribosomal RNA is filed under the name uncultured bacterium. Its description in RNAcentral is "partial 16S ribosomal RNA". The record is from RNAcentral.
CCGGUACUGUCAUUAUCAUCCCUGGUAAAAGAGCUUUACGACCCUAAGGCCUUCAUCACUCACGCGGCAUUGCUGGAUCAGGGUUUCCCCCAUUGUCCAAUAUUCCCCACUGCUGCCUCCCGUAGG